Egretta garzetta (little egret) is the source of this 3631-nucleotide long non-coding RNA. RefSeq lists it as uncharacterized. The transcript has 3 exons. Lineage: Eukaryota; Metazoa; Chordata; Aves; Pelecaniformes; Ardeidae. The record is from RefSeq and is a predicted model, not a curated record.
CAAACAAAAAGCGCCCCCCCCAACAACAACAAAAAUCACAUUUUACCACAUUAAAAAGAAAGCGAAACAAAACCCUCAACCUUUCAGUGAGUUUUUGGCUACAUCCCACUGCUGCCACCGGCAGCAUCCCCGUCCCCGGGGACGCACCCAGCCUUCAUCCCAAGCGACAGCACGGACCGGACGCACGCCGAAGGGAGGAGGCACAGAAGCACAGCGGGCGGUGGAGACAAGCGGGGAAGGAAAGCGUGAGCGUCCCCGGCGAGCAGGAGAGGGAGCGGAGGACGUCUGCUGGCUGCUCCCCACGGGACCGCGGGGAGGGCCACGGCUCCGGGCACAAAACCACGACACAAAGCGGACUGAAGCCACGCGCUGGGGAGGCUGACGGGACGCAGAGUGUUUUCCAGCAGCCUACACGAGAGCACGGACUCCACGCCGUCCACUGGCCGCUGGAAGCGAAAGAGAUGCCAUCCAGAGCGAAGUCAGAGGCGCGUGAAGUGGCCUGCUUCCACUCCAGGGGUGCAGCAACGGGGGGCGAAGGCAGACGCCAGCAUUAACAAACCGCAGCGCCGGGCUUUCUGAACUCCAUCCCAGGAGAGGGAGCCUGCUGCCAGUGAUAGCAAAGAAUCUGCCCAGCCCCGUCAAAGAAGGACAAGGUGGAAAACGUCAUCUUCAGAAGCCACACACAGAAAUCCCUCCGUUCUAAUCUUGUCAUGGGGAAACAGAUCUUAUCUUGGCCGUUUUCCCCCUCAGUGAUCGACGACUGUACGAAAGCAGCCCUGUUCUCCCACGAGUGAGGUGUGGCCAGAAGGGAGAAGAGACAACAGUUUGACGAGUAUUACAGGACUGAAUAUCUGGGAGCGCUGCUCUCAGUUAAGUGGCUGUUGCUCUAAUUCCCACAUCGUGCUUCAGUAAGAGGAUGACGAUCGCCUCAGAAAUGCCUGGAGAAGAGAGAGAGCCACCGAGCGUUGACCUGUUUGCUUCUUUCCUGAUCAGGACACAACACUCAAUCUGAGGUCGACUGAUGGCACUGCAGAGCAAUAGCUACUGCCGAGCUUCAGCGCUGAUGUUUCUCGGUAAUUCAAGCACCACAUGCACUGGCAAGAGAGCAUCCUUCCAAAAGCUGUGCUGGGGAAAGGUCUUCCUUGCCUUGACAGCUUAAAUCCACAUCAAAAAAAGUCAGAGCAAGCAGAUUAUGUUGAGUCACCUUCUGCCCUGCCCAUCAGUAAAGAAACUAUGUACUAGCAGCUGAAAUCCAGCACUGAAGGUGGGAAAUAAAGUCUAGCGCAAGUAAAAAAACCCUGUUCAUUCACACCACCAAGCCAACUCAUCCCCGAGGCUCAAGCACCGCAACCCAAAUGAAGAAAAAUAGCAACGACGCUACCUCCAACCGAGCCGCACGGCCGAGAAACAAAAAGCAUAAAGAUGUAAAAAUGGUUUGGUGUAAAAAGAGGAAGGAAGAUAAGUCAGAGAUGAUAAGAAAUGAGUAAAAAUAAAGUUUAAAAACAACUGAUACACACAGAGCAGCUCUACCUUCUCCCUCCUCUGGACGUGCCAUAAAAUAGGUGACAACUUCUAAAGCGAUGCGUUUCUCUCUCCUUAAGUUCGUAAGCAGCUCUCCAUCCAAUGCAAGGCUUUAAGGGAAGAACCGCACGCUUUCCUGUCUGCGGGACCCACCAGGGAGGCACGUGGCUCGCUGGGCUACCAAGGACCGCUACCAGCACAAGAGCGGGGACGAGUUCAAAGACUGAUACCGAUUUCUAGGUUCAGCACCUACCAGAGAGGACAUGUUCACACUGCUUCACAUGAGCAUAUAAAUCCAUAUGUCCACCACAUGUACCCCAAAAACCUUUCAAGCAUUUUUUUUUUGGUCUUUUUUUCCUUCAAGUAACCUGACUCUGGUCACCAAUGUAUCAGAUAAAGUGCGCUGCAGGAGCAUUGAAAAGCUACUCUGACCUCCGUCUGCUUCAAGGCACUUUAAAACACAGCUCGAGGACAAGGGGUUUUUUAAUUAUUCGCAAUAUAUAGCCCAUUCUCUUCCGAGCGAAGCUGUGUGGUCUGAACCACGCUGUGACUCCUGCUCACCUGAAAGGCAGCACUGGCUGUUGCACUGACUCGCUCCUUGCUGCAAGCAUCAAGCCCUCUCUCAGGAUUUAGCACCAGAGAACGCUGAACCACCCAAGCCACUCCAAACCCGCUGCUUUUACUCUUUCAGCACUUUCACCCCCCAAACAAGUGACCUAGUUCAUACAAACUCGCUGUGCAAUCCGUAACGCCCAUCUCUCCAGAGAUUGUCAUUAUUUACACCAAGCUUUUUAUUUCUUUCAGCUCCAAGCUGGGGUUUUUUUUUUAACCACUUCUCUUGAGCUAAAUGUCCUUGUAAAAACAACACAAAAUCCAGGACACGGCUAAGUUCUGAACAACUCUGGCAGAGACCUUUCAGCACAUCUUCUUUGUCAUCCAGAAAUGAAGCACUUUGCAUCUUUAAUGAAAAAAUGCUGGUUGCUAAACCAAACCUGUUGUGGCCAUCACCACUCCGCCCGGUCUUCCGAGGGUUUUCAGCCAGCAAGUGCCUAUAUUCCUGUUUGAUGUUACCACAGGAUUUGGAACAGGCCAGUAGCUAAAAAAACAAAACACCAAACCAAAAAACUACACACACAUAGAGAACACCGCCCCCAUCUAUCAUCUUUCCUAUUGAGAAAUAACCCGAAACUUCAUUAUUACAUACAUAUUAUAAUAACUGUUAUUACUACAUCUGUAUUACAGCAUUAGCAGCCAUUACAACUUCUUACGUGCAAGGUUGUUACGAACGGACGGCUGCUUUUGAGACUGAAAAAAUGUCAUUAAAUUUACCUUAAUGGGGUUCUGAUAUAUACUAGAAACAUUAAAAGGCUGACUUUAAAAAUCUAUCAAGUAUUUAUUAAAAUAACUUCCAGAAAUGCCAGGUUAAGUGCUGAGGUGUAUCAAAGGGUGGUUCUGGAGUACUGAUGUACUCAUCAGCUCCCACAAUUAGGUUUCCAGAGAGGAAUGCUGUGUCAUACGAUGUGUGACUCACGGAGUAAUGUCCAGAGGAAACCACGCUUCUCCUUCCUUUCCUAUAAAAAGCUCAACCUGCUUUAAGUUGACCGGCGUUACCUGAACAAACUCUCUCCUCCAACAAAGGAGCUAAUUUCAGCAUUGCUUGCUUGAGCACGUCUGCAAGGACGAAGGUGUAUUUUAAGUUGCUUCUGAAGAGGUUGAUCACACAACCUGCCAGCAGACCAGGGCCUCUGGAAACUCAGCUGAAAACAUCCCCUGCUCCUCCUUCAGAAGCGAAUUAAGAAAUACGCGGUAUUGUUGUAUUUGAACACGUGUUUGUACUUGGACCUCGCAUCGGUUUCGCAACCUCGCGACACUUUGGCCGGCUGACCUGUUCCUGGGCAGCUCCCAGCUCACGCCCCUUCUGCAUCUGACCCCACGCAGUCACGGCACUCCACCACGCUGCAACAGCUCCGAGGGAUCGCACGCGCCCGUGCAGUGUGUGCGCCCUGCACCCCGGGCACUUGCCGCGACCGAGAACAGUAAAAAGGGUGGCAGAAACACCAGUGGGAUCCCCACACAUCCUGGAGGUCCGCCAGGACAUGGGACCUUUUGC